UACGGAGGGUGCAAGCGUUAUCCGGAUUCACUGGGUUUAAAGGGCGCGUAGGCGGCUAGGUAAGUCCGUGGUGAAAUCCUGCAGCUUAACUGCAGAACUGCCAUGGAUACUAUCUAUCUUGAAUGUCGUGGAGGUUAGCGGAAUAUGUCAUGUAGCGGUGAAAUGCUUAGAUAUGACAUAGAACACCCAUUGCGAAGGCAGCUAACUACGCGAUAAUUGACGCUGAUGCACGAAAGCGUGGGGAUCAAACAGG
Molecule: ribosomal RNA, 253 nt
Filed under: uncultured bacterium
Lineage: Bacteria
Description: partial 16S ribosomal RNA
Rfam family: Bacterial small subunit ribosomal RNA
Source: RNAcentral